AUCGUUGCCCCAGUGCCUUGGCCUUGUGCUAGGCACCGAGCUGGGCGAAUGCUGGCUUCCCGCGAGCAACGCCUCACGGUUGGUUGAAAACAGAGUCCGUGGUGGAGGGAGCCGUGACGGAUGGUGGUUGAGUAAAAGAAAGCUCGAGACCCAUCGUGGGUGUCACAGGCACCGGCAUUGCGACUCUAUGAUCCAUGAGCGUCUGUUGGUCGCCAAGACGGGACCUCAGG
This 230-nucleotide unclassified non-coding RNA is filed under the name Crotalaria podocarpa. RNAcentral's name for it is "ITS-2". Lineage: Eukaryota; Viridiplantae; Streptophyta; Magnoliopsida; Fabales; Fabaceae. The record is from RNAcentral.